RNAcentral lists this long non-coding RNA (1026 nucleotides) under Oreochromis niloticus (Nile tilapia). RNAcentral's name for it is "lncRNA (ENSONIG00000041599.1)". The record is from RNAcentral. Lineage: Eukaryota; Metazoa; Chordata; Actinopteri; Cichliformes; Cichlidae.
AUGUGGUUCACUGAGUCGUGGCUAACUGCGCUAACUCCGGACUCACACAUAAACAUGGAUGGUUUUCAUCUGAUCCGGGCCGAGAGAACAGCGGAGAGUGGUAAGAAGAGAGGAGGGGGUCUGGCUGUGUUUGUGAAGGAUAGAUGGUGUAACUCUGGGCAUUUAUCUAUCAAAGAGACGCUAUGCUGUAAGGACAUUGAGCUGCUAGCGGUUAGCAUGAGACUGUACUAUCUACCGCGAGAGUUUAAACACGUUAUUGUGAUAGCUGUGUAUGUCCCGCCCUCUGCUAACGCUGCAGCAGCCUGUGAGGUCCUGCACACUGUAACCAGCAGACUCCAAACACAGCACCCUCAGGCCCUUUUCCUGAUCUCUGGGGACUUUAAUCACAUCUCCCUGUCCUCCACUCUCCCCACCUUCACCCAGUAUGUUACCUGCCACACCAGAGACAAUAAAACAUUGGACUUAUUGUAUGCCAACACCAAGGAGGCAUACAGCUCCUCACCUCUCCCUCCCCUGGGGGGCUCAGAUCACAAUCUGGUUCAUCUCCAGCCUGUGUAUAAACCUCUAGUACACAGAGAACCAGUUGUGAAACGCACAGUAAGGAAAUGGUCAGCAGAGACUGAAGAGGCCCUGAGGGACUGUUUCUGUUCUACUGUGUGGGACAACCUCUGCAGGCCCCUGGAGGAUGACCUCAACAGCAUCACAGACUGCAUUACGGAUUACAUGAACUUCUGUAUGGACAACACCGUACCCAUCAUAAAGGUACGGUGUUUUUCUAACAACAAGCCAUGGAUAAAUCCUGAAAUUAAGGCUCUCCUCAAGGAGAAGAAGAGAGUCUUUAGAUCUGGAGACAAACAGGAGCUGAGAGUUGUCCAGAAGAAGCUGAAAUGGAAGAUAAGGCAGGGAAAGGAAAACUACAGGAGGAAGAUGGAAGCAGCUGCAACAGGACCACCACAUGUCCCAGUGGAUACUGGACUACCUCACAGAACGCCCACAGUAUGUGAGGUGACAGGGCUGUGUCUCUGA